Molecule: ribosomal RNA, 452 nt
Filed under: uncultured bacterium
Lineage: Bacteria
Description: bacterial SSU rRNA
Rfam family: Bacterial small subunit ribosomal RNA
Source: RNAcentral
AGCGAACGCUGGCGGCAGGCUUAACACAUGCAAGUCGAACGGAUCCUUCGGGAUUAGUGGCGGACGGGUGAGUAACACGUGGGAACGUGCCUUUUGGUUCGGAACAACACAGGGAAACUUGUGCUAAUACCGAAUGUGCCCUUCGGGGGGAAAGAUUUAUCGCUAUUAGAUGAGCCCGCGUCGGAUUAGCUAGUAGGUAGGGUAAAGGCCUACCAAGGCGACGAUCCGUAACUGGUCUGUGAGGAUGAUCAGUCACACUGGAACUGAGACACGGUCCAGACUCCUACGGGAGGCAGCAGUGGGGAAUAUUGGACAAUGGGGGCAACCCUGAUCCAGCCAUGCCGCGUGUGUGAAGAAGGCCUUAGGGUUGUAAAACUCUUUACGCGCACGACGAUAAUGACGGUAGUGCGAGAAGAAGCUCCGGCUAACUUCGUGCCAGCAGCCGCGGUAAU